GCCCAGGUAGCUCAAUCGGCAGAGCAGGGGUUUUGUAAACCUCAGGUUGGAGGUUCGAUUCCUCUCCUGGGCUCCA
This 76-nucleotide transfer RNA is filed under the name Candidatus Omnitrophota bacterium. RNAcentral describes it as "Candidatus Omnitrophica bacterium tRNA-Thr". It matches the Rfam family "tRNA". From Rfam's summary of the family: Transfer RNA (tRNA) molecules are approximately 80 nucleotides in length. Their secondary structure includes four short double-helical elements and three loops (D, anti-codon, and T loops). Further hydrogen bonds mediate the characteristic L-shaped molecular structure. tRNAs have two regions of fundamental functional importance: the anti-codon, which is responsible for specific mRNA codon recognition, and the 3' end, to which the tRNAs corresponding amino acid is attached (by aminoacyl-tRNA synthetases). tRNAs cope with the degeneracy of the genetic code in two manners: having more than one tRNA (with a specific anti-codon) for a particular amino acid; and 'wobble' base-pairing, i.e. permitting non-standard base-pairing at the 3rd anti-codon position. Lineage: Bacteria; Pseudomonadati; Candidatus Omnitrophota. The record is from RNAcentral.